CAGCCGCCACGGUAAUACGAACCGUGCGAACGUUAUUCGGAAUCACUGGGCUUAAAGCGCGUGUAGGCGGGACGGCACGUCGACUGCUGAAAUCCCUCGGCUUAACCGAGGAAGUGGCAUCGAUACGACCGUCCUGGAGGAACGUAGGGGGACCUGGAACUUCCGGUGGAGCGGUGAAAUGCGUUGAGAUCGGAAGGAACGCCCGUGGCGAAAGCGAGGUCCUGGACGUUUUCUGACGCUGAGACGCGAAAGCUAGGGGAGCGAACGGGAUUAGAUACCCCCGUAGUCCCUGUCUCUUAUU
RNAcentral lists this ribosomal RNA (301 nucleotides) under uncultured bacterium. RNAcentral's name for it is "partial 16S ribosomal RNA". It matches the Rfam family "Bacterial small subunit ribosomal RNA", at positions 509 to 808 of the family's 1533-position model. The record is from RNAcentral.